GACGAACGCUGGCGGCGUGCUUAACACAUGCAAGUCGAACGGAAAGGCCCUGCUUUUGUGGGGUGCUCGAGUGGCGAACGGGUGAGUAACACGUGAGUAACCUGCCCUUGACUUUGGGAUAACUUCAGGAAACUGGGGCUAAUACCGGAUAGGAGCUCCUGCUGCAUGGUGGGGGUUGGAAAGUUUCGGCGGUUGGGGAUGGACUCGCGGCUUAUCAGCUUGUUGGUGGGGUAGUGGCUUACCAAGGCUUUGACGGGUAGCCGGCCUGAGAGGGUGACCGGCCACAUUGGGACUGAGAUACGGCCCAGAAUCGUACGGGAGGCAGAAGUGGGGAAUAUUGCACAAUGGGCGGGAGCCUGAUGCAGCAACGCCGCGUGCGGGAUGACGGGCUUCGGGUUGUAAACCGCUUUCGCCUGUGACGAAGCGUGAGUGACGGUAAUGGGUAAAGAAGCACCGGCUAACUACGUG
Molecule: ribosomal RNA, 468 nt
Filed under: uncultured bacterium
Lineage: Bacteria
Description: partial 16S ribosomal RNA
Rfam family: Bacterial small subunit ribosomal RNA
Source: RNAcentral